UUUCAAUCUUCACUUCACUCUCUCUCUUUCUUUCGAUCCAAUCCAGGGUUAAGGUUAAAGGUAUUUAGAGUCAUGAAGUUCAGGGAAGGGAAUAUAGUGGAGCUGUUGAGAACAAAACUGGACCCAUGUGGCUCUUGGUUUACUGG
Long non-coding RNA from Telopea speciosissima, 146 nucleotides. RefSeq lists it as uncharacterized. Lineage: Eukaryota; Viridiplantae; Streptophyta; Magnoliopsida; Proteales; Proteaceae. The transcript is spliced from 2 exons. The record is from RefSeq and is a predicted model, not a curated record.